GGGAAGGCAGUAAUAUCACCUGGCUGCAAGGCUGCUGGUAUCAUCCUGGAGAUGACAAGCUGUUCCAUGCAUGACCAUCAUUUUGUGUGUACAGCACCAUGCACAGUGGAAUCCAGAUCCAUAUAUUAUUGUUGUCCCUAGAUGCUGCUACAACAACAACAAUUUAAGUAUAGUCUUGGCAGAUGAAUGCUGCAAGUCUCCAGAGGAAAGCAGGAACUGGGACCAGCCUACUGACUGAGCAGCAGGGAUUGAUCAUGUACUGUUACCACUCCAAAAUGUCUGAAGAUAAGCUGGUACAUACAGUUUACCCUAUCAGGCCCCAGCUGAGAUGAGGAUACUUUACAAAAGAGUAAUUUGUGAAAGGGAGUGCCUCACAGUACCUGCCUGUUAUUGGAAUUUGUGUCACUUAUACCUGAAGGGAAGAUUACGCAUUUUUUGCUAUGAGUCUCAUACUCUGCUAUAUAUAUUUUUUUUUCUUCACAUCAUAUAAAAUGAAGCAACCUCACAUAAUCCCAGCCUACAAUUUCCUAUCAUUUUAUUUUUAUAAGUAUGCUUUUCCCCUUGAAAAGAAAUAUUCUAGCCACAUUACCAUGAACUAGUUUUCCUGUCAUUUCAUCCUUAUCAGAAUGUUUUUCCUUAAGAUGAGGCCUAAGAAUCUGGCCCUUUCAAUGCAACUCCUUAUGUAUCAACUGGGCAUUUCACAUACAAGACUAGGUUCUGUCAGGAAGUUUAAGGCCUAGUUUAUAUAACACAAGCGAUAAUGAAAAUUGACCAUAAUGCAUGCAAUGCUAAUCCUGACAGACUUUGAAGUUAGAGGACACUGCUAAUCGACAAGGACCACUGGGACAAACUUAAGUAGGGGACAAGAGUUGUAUGCAUGCUUUUCUCUCCUCCAAACGCCCACUAGGUCCACAGGUGACACUAUUAAGCUAUGUUCCCUCUCUGUUUGAGGCAUAAAUUGCUUUAAACCUGAAAACGUGUUUGGAGCCUCCUCCAGCUGUCCAUUUGUAUCCUUUACUCUCACCCCAGUAGCCUCCUGGCACAUGUACAGGCACCCUUUGUGAAAGAGCAUGGUUUUAAAGGGGAUAUUUAGAAUUUAUGAGCAGAGAGAGAACACCCUUCAGUGGACAGCCAUCACAAGAAAAUACAGGCAAUCUCUCAUCAGUCAUAAGCUGAGUCCAAUGAGCUCCCACUGACUCAAAGCCCUGUGGAUGAAGAAUAGUUCAUUACACAAUUACAUGCACUUAAACUUGCAUGGUUUGACUCAGGGAAAAGGUGUUAACAUGGGCCCAGCGAGCCAGACAGAAUCCAAAAGGACUGGAGCCCUAUAAACCUGGGAUAUGCACAUUCUGAAAGUGCCUGUGCUCAAGUCUCCAAACUUCCACUCCACAGUGUCAAAUAUGGCCAGCUCAGUGGCAAUUCCACCAUUAGUUCCCCAUCUGAGAUAGCACUUGGUGACAUCUCCAGUAGAGCUCAUAAUGAAAAAAUACAAGAUAAUGCUGCACUGGUGGGGCGAAUUCCCAAGCUAUACGAUAUGUCAGAAAAUAUGGCAUCUGUUUCUCAGUUCCAAAACCCUAUCUUCACAGUUUAUGCAAGGGUUUGUGCAGACUCUGCUCCGGAGAAUGGAGUGCACCACAUGGGUUCAUUCUUCCUCUUCCAUAUACCGAGAUCAUGUUCAGCCUAUUGCAGGUUCCCAAAUAAGA
Molecule: long non-coding RNA, 1703 nt
Organism: Alligator mississippiensis (American alligator)
Lineage: Eukaryota; Metazoa; Chordata; Crocodylia; Alligatoridae
Exons: 3
Source: RefSeq, a predicted model, not a curated record